CCUACGGGAGGCAGCAGUGGGGAAUCUUGCACAAUGGGCGAAAGCCUGAUGCAGCAACGCCGCGUGCGGGAAGAAGGCCCUAGGGUUGUAAACCGCUUUCAGUAGGGAAGAAAAUGACGGUACCUACAGAAGAAGGUGCGGCCAACUACGUGCCAGCAGCCGCGGUGACACGUAGGCACCAAGCGUUAUCCGGAUUUAUUGGGCGUAAAGAGCUCGUAGGCGGUUCGGUAAGUCGGGUGUGAAAACUCUGGGCUCAACCCAGAGAGGCCACCCGAUACUGCUGUGACUAGAGUGCGGUAGGGGAGCGGGGAAUUCCUGGUGUAGCGGUGAAAUGCGCAGAUAUCAGGAGGAACACCAGCGGCGAAGGCGCCGCUCUGGGCCGUAACUGACGCUGAGGAGCGAAAGCAUGGGUAGCAAACAGGAUUAGAUACCCUGGUAGUCCAUGCCGUAAACGUUGGGCACUAGGUGUGGGUCUCAACCAACGAGAUCCGCGCCGUCGCUAACGCAUUAAGUGCCCCGCCUGGGGAGUACGGUCGCAAGACUAAAACUUAAGGAAUUGACGGCUGAGACGUGCGAGACGACGACGAGGAGAG
This 593-nucleotide ribosomal RNA is filed under the name uncultured bacterium. RNAcentral's name for it is "bacterial SSU rRNA". It matches the Rfam family "Bacterial small subunit ribosomal RNA", at positions 338 to 945 of the family's 1533-position model. The record is from RNAcentral.